Long non-coding RNA from Oncorhynchus nerka (sockeye salmon), 502 nucleotides. RefSeq lists it as uncharacterized. The transcript is spliced from 3 exons. The record is from RefSeq and is a predicted model, not a curated record. NCBI's taxonomy places the organism in Eukaryota, Metazoa, Chordata, Actinopteri, Salmoniformes, Salmonidae.
AAGCGGAGCAGGCUGGGAAUUCUGCAAACAACAUUUCUAGGAUGGGCUACCAGCAGGACAAUAGAUUUUUUUCCUUUUACUCAGAUUACAACCGCUCACUUUCGGGUUAUUUGAAAACCAAAUCAUCUCCAAAAUAUCGUUAUUUUUAAACAAGGACUUGAAAAUGAGAUUGAAAACUCUGCAAACAACGUUUCCAGUCCGAGAAUGAGAAUGGGUUGGGACUGUAACCACCAGAGGACUUGAAAAUGAGUCGGAGCUGAGAGGAUCACCAAAACUAAAAGAGCACACAACUAUGCCGACAACCAUCCGUGGAGAUCAGUGGACUGGACAACAGGCCGCACCGAAAAAAGGCAUGGUUCCACAGAAAACCAACUGGGAUGGAUCUCGAGGCAAAUGUGGUUUCUUCAUCAACAUCUUUAUGCUUUCGUUAAUAAAAUAAUUGUAAAAAUACUCUCGCCAGCUUUGAUCCAUGCCUGGGCCUGCAGGACGCAAAUGUCUUUGU